Molecule: unclassified non-coding RNA, 356 nt
Filed under: soil metagenome
Description: partial contains 5.8S ribosomal RNA, internal transcribed spacer 2, and large subunit ribosomal RNA
Rfam family: 5.8S ribosomal RNA (bases 1-120)
Source: RNAcentral
GAUGAAGAACGCAGCGAAAUGCGAUAAGUAAUGUGAAUUGCAGAAUUCAGUGAAUCAGCGAAUCUUUGAACGCACAUUGCGCCCGCCAGUAUUCUGGCGGGCAUGCCUGUCCGAGCGUCAUUUCAACCCUCGAACCCCUCCGGGGGUCCGGCGUUGGGGAUCGGGAACCCCUAAGACGGGAUCCCGGCCCCGAAAUACAGUGGCGGUCUCGCCGCAGCCUCUCAUGCGCAGUAGUUUGCACAACUCGCACCGGGAGCGCGGCGCGUCCACGUCCGUAAAACACCCAUCUUCUGAAAUGAUGACCUCGGAUCAGGUAGGAAUACCCGCUGAACUUAAGCAUAUCAAUAAGCGGAGGA